Molecule: ribosomal RNA, 440 nt
Filed under: uncultured bacterium
Lineage: Bacteria
Description: partial 16S ribosomal RNA
Rfam family: Bacterial small subunit ribosomal RNA
Source: RNAcentral
CCUACGGGCGGCUGCAGUGGGGAAUAUUGCACAAUGGGGGCAACCCUGAUGCAGCGACGCCGCGUGAGUGAAGACGUCUUUCGGUAUGUAAAGCUCUAUCAGCGGGGAAGAAAAUGACGGUACCUGAUUAAGAAGCCCCGGCUAACUACGUGCCAGCAGCCGCGGUAAUACGUAGGGCGCAAGCGUUAUCAGGAUUUACUGGGGGUAAAGGGAGCGUAGACGGCUGCGCAAGUCUGAAGUGAAAUGCCGGGGCUUAACCCCGGAACUGCUUUGGAAACUGUGCAGCUAGAGUGCAGGAGAGGGAAGUGGAAUUCCGAGUGUAGCGGUGAAAUGCGUAGAUAUUAGGAGGAACACCAGUGGCGAAGGCGGCUUACUGGACUGUAACUGACGUUGAGGCUCGAAAGCGUGGGGAGCAAACAGGAUUAGAUACCCCAGUAGUC